Mastomys coucha (southern multimammate mouse) is the source of this 161-nucleotide small nuclear RNA. RefSeq annotates it as U1 spliceosomal RNA. The transcript has a single exon. The record is from RefSeq and is a predicted model, not a curated record. Lineage: Eukaryota; Metazoa; Chordata; Mammalia; Rodentia; Muridae.
AAAAUAACGCAGGGGAGACACUAUGAUCAGGAAGGUGGUUCGCCCCCACCCCCACGAGGCUAAUCUCUUUUUCUUGGAUUAUGCUAACCUCUGUCAUUUCUGCAAACCUGGGAAACUGCAAAAUUUGUGGUACUAGGGGACUGUGUUAGCUCUCUCCCCUG